AGCCUUGAGCAAUGGCAAUAUCAUAGCCAAUGAGGUUUAUCUGAGGUGUGAUUAUUGCUCAUUGAGAAUGGGGCCAAUUUCAGCAUUUACCACAUUACUUAGAGUUCAUAGCAUAAUAACAGGCCUAUGGUUUCAU
This is a small nuclear RNA of Myotis lucifugus (little brown bat), 136 nucleotides long. Its record names the gene U4. It matches the Rfam family "U4 spliceosomal RNA". Rfam says of the family: U4 small nuclear RNA (U4 snRNA) is a component of the major U2-dependent spliceosome. The structure of U4 snRNA from yeast and human has been reported. U4 snRNA presents a k-turn RNA motif in the 5p-SL related to recognition of Snu13 protein. NCBI's taxonomy places the organism in Eukaryota, Metazoa, Chordata, Mammalia, Chiroptera, Vespertilionidae. The record is from Ensembl.